GACGAACGCUGGCGGCGUGCUUAACACAUGCAAGUCGAACGGAAAGGCCCUGCUUUUGUGGGGUGCUCGAGUGGCGAACGGGUGAGUAACACGUGAGUAACCUGCCCUUGACUUUGGGAUAACUUCAGGAAACUGGGGCUAAUACCGGAUAGGAGCUCCUGCUGCAUGGUGGGGGUUGGAAAGUUUCGGCGGUUGGGGAUGGACUCGCGGCUUAUCAGCUUGUUGGUGGGGUAGUGGCUUACCAAGGCUUUGACGGGUAGCCGGCCUGAGAGGGUGACCGGCCACAUUGGGACUGAGAUACGGGCCAGACUCCUACGGGAGACAGCAGUGGGGAAUAUUGCACAAUGGGCGGAAGCCUGAUGCAGCAACGCCGCGUGCGGGAUGACGGCCUUCGGGUUGUAAACCGCUUUCGCCUGUGACGAAGCGUGAGUGACGGUAAUGGGUAAAGAAGCACCGGCUAACUACGUG
RNAcentral lists this ribosomal RNA (468 nucleotides) under uncultured bacterium. RNAcentral describes it as "partial 16S ribosomal RNA". It matches the Rfam family "Bacterial small subunit ribosomal RNA", at positions 28 to 507 of the family's 1533-position model. The record is from RNAcentral.